Molecule: ribosomal RNA, 406 nt
Filed under: uncultured bacterium
Lineage: Bacteria
Description: partial 16S ribosomal RNA
Rfam family: Bacterial small subunit ribosomal RNA
Source: RNAcentral
AUUGAACGCUGGCGGCAGGCCUAACACAUGCAAGUCGGGCGAGAGGCGGACGGGUGGGUAAUGUAUGGGGAUCUGCCUGAUGGAGGGGGAUAACUACUGGAAACGGUAGCUAAUACAGCAUACCAUCAGAGGAACACAUAUGGGAUGGGCUAGUAGGUGAGGUAACGGCUCACUUGGGCGACGAUCCCUAGCUGGUCUGAGAGGAUGAUCAGCCAAACUGGGACUGAGACACGGCCCAGACUCCUACGGGAGGCAGCAGUGGGGAAUAUUGCACAAUGGGCGAAAGCCUGAUGCAGCCAUGCCGCGUGUAUGAAGAAGGCCUUCGGGUUGUAAAGUACUUUCAGUCGGGAGGCGUUACCGACAGAAGAAGCACCGACUAACUCCGUGCCAGCAGCCGCGGUAAUAC